UGCAGUCGAGCGGUUGCACAGAGAGCUUGCUCUCGGGUGACGAGUGGCGGACGGGUGAUUAAUGUCUGGGAAACUGCCUGAUGGAGGGGGAUAACUACUGGAAACGGUAGCUAAUACCGCAUAACGUCGCAGACCAAAGAGGGGGACCUUCGGGCCUCUUGCCAUCGAAUGUGCCCAGAUGGGAUUAGCUGUGGUGGGGUAACGGCUCACCUAGGCAACCAUCCCUAGCUGGUCUGAAAGGAUGACCACCCACACUGGAACUGACACACGGUCCUCACUCCUACGGGAGGCAGCAGUGGGGAAUAUUGCACAAUGGGCGCCUGCCUGAUGCAUGCAUGCCGCGUGUGUGAAGAAGGCCUUCGGGUUGUAAAUUACUUUCGGCGGGGAGGAAGGUGUUGUGGUUAAUAACCUCUUUGAUUGACGUUACCCGCAAAACAACCACCGGCUAACUCCGUGCCAGCAGCCGCGGUAAUACGGGAGGGUGCAAGCGUUAAUCGGAAUUACUGGGCGUAAAGCGCACGCAGGCGGUCUGUCAAGUCGGAUGUGAAAUCCCCGGGCUCAACCUGGGAACUGCAUUCGAAACUGGCAGGCUAGAGUCUUGUAGAGGGGGGUAGAAUUCCAGGUGUAGCGGUGAAAUGCGAUAGAGAUCUGGAGGAAUACCGGUGGCGAAGGCGGCCCGCCUGUGACUACUGACUGACGCUCAGGUGAAGAAAUCGUGAGGAGCAAAGCAUGAUAAAGAUCCCGCCUGGUAGUCCACGUCAGUAAACGAUGACUA
Molecule: ribosomal RNA, 775 nt
Filed under: Enterobacter cloacae
Lineage: Bacteria; Pseudomonadati; Pseudomonadota; Gammaproteobacteria; Enterobacterales; Enterobacteriaceae
Description: bacterial SSU rRNA
Rfam family: Bacterial small subunit ribosomal RNA
Source: RNAcentral